RNAcentral lists this long non-coding RNA (699 nucleotides) under Meleagris gallopavo (turkey). Its description in RNAcentral is "lncRNA (ENSMGAG00000020822.1)". Lineage: Eukaryota; Metazoa; Chordata; Aves; Galliformes; Phasianidae. The record is from RNAcentral.
AUGAAGAGAACAAUUGAGUCCUUUCAUCUUUUCAGUGUCUUAUGUCCACGGUGGAUAGAAGAAAAAUUAAGAAGCUUAGUGAUUCAAGGAAGAUUUAGAUCAGUCACUGAGGAGGAACUAGCAGGAAGAGAUUAUCAAGGCAGGCUCCUGAGCUGUGUGGCAAUUGAGCACGUACCUGUUGGAAAUGCUUCAGGCAGAGAGAAACCUGCCUGCAGAGCCCUGGUACAGCAGGGUGCUGGCCUGAAACCAAUGUUCUGUGGGACCUGGAGCCAGAAACAGGAUCACGGUUUCAGGAAGGGCCCUAAAAGAAGGGCUCUUCUUUCAGAAUUCAGUGCUUCAGUGACCAUGGUUUCUCUUCUGCUAAGGCUCUCCUGUUGUCUUAGAAAAUUAUCAUCCCAUUUACUUAAUAAGCCUGACUUCAAGCUUCAGGCAUUAGCCUGCCAAGAUGAUGCAAACAGCUCUCAUCUAUUUGCUCUCAGCAAGCUUGCCUGCCUUGCCCUCUUCUGUGCUGUGAAACCCAGAAAUUCCACACAAAUUGUAUUUUUUAAGAAGGUGUUUCUAAUAGAGAUGAUUUGGAAGGGAAUGUCGAGCCUUCUUGAAAUAUGGAGGAGACAUUGGCAAGACUACUAUGUUUUCUGUUUGCCUGUGAAUGGGAAAAUGCUAUUCAUGUCAAACAGAGGAUGCAUAAAGUCAUGGUGA